Octodon degus (degu) is the source of this 1019-nucleotide RNA transcript. It is a transcript of the gene named RNA-binding protein with serine-rich domain 1 pseudogene, with no coding region annotated. The transcript has a single exon. Lineage: Eukaryota; Metazoa; Chordata; Mammalia; Rodentia; Octodontidae. The record is from RefSeq and is a predicted model, not a curated record.
UUUGGCAUAAAUUGCAAUCGAUUAGGGAUCGGUUCUCAGACUCAAGUUAGAAGUGAGAUUUCAGAUAAGUGAGGCCAGCGUUGCUGCUUUGGACACCUCAGAAGGAGAGAAUGGAUUUAUCAGGAGUGAAAAAGAAGGGCUUGCUAGGAGUCAAAGAAAAUACUAAAAAGUCCAGCACUAGGGCUCCUUCUCCUACCAAACGAAAGGACCGCUCUGAUGAGAAGUCCAAAGAUGGCUCUAAAGACAAAGGGGCCACCAAGGAGUCUCGUGAGAAGGACUGCGGCAGGGAUAAGACCCAGAGGAGGCGCAGUGCUUCCAGCGGAAGCAGCAGCACCAGGUUUCGGUCAAGCUCGACUUCUAGCUCAGGCUCUAGUACCAGCGCAGGCUCGAGCACCGGCCCCAGUUCCUCUUGGCAUCCAGCCAUUCUGGAAGCUCCAGUGCACCUCGAAGUUCCAGCUCCAGCAGCUGCUGUGGUUCUCCAGGCCCUUCUCGGUGCACACAUGACAAGGCGGCGCUCCCCCUCCAAAUCCAAACCACCUAAAGAGAUAGAAAAGAGGAAAAGGCGAAGCCCUUCCCCUAAACCCACCUCAGUGCACAUUGGGAGGCUUACCGGGAAUGUGACUAAGGACCACAUCAUGGAGAUAUUGUCCACCUAUGGGAAGAUUAAAUGAUUGAAAUGCCUGUAGAAAAGUUGCAUCUUCAUCUAUCCAAAGGCUAUGCAUAUGUGGGGUUUGAGAAUCCAGACGAAGCUGAGAAAGCACUGAAGCAAAUGGAUGGAGGACAACUUGAUCGGGAGAUCCCUGCUAUUGUUGUGCUGGCUCCCCGGCCUAGGCCACUGCCCUGAUGGUUCAGCCCUCCCAGGAGAAUGCUGCCACCACCUCUUAUGUGGCGCAGGUCACCCCCACAGAUGAGGAGAGGGUCAUGCUCCCCAAGAUGCAGGUCCCCUGUACGCAGGCGGCCCCCGUUCUCCUGGCCGCUGCCACCAGAGGAGCUGCUCUAGCUCCAAUUCUUCCCAGUAA